UACAGAGGUCUCAAGCGUUGUUCGGAUUCAUUGGGCGUAAAGGGUGCGUAGGUGGCGCGGUAAGUCGGGUGUGAAAUCUCGGAGCUUAACUCCGAAAUUGCAUUCGAUACUGCCGUGCUUGAGGACUGGAGAGGAGACUGGAAUUCAUGGUGUAGCAGUGAAAUGCGUAGAGAUCAUGAGGAACACCAGUGGCGAAGGCGGGUCUCUGGACAGUUCCUGACACUGAGGCACGAAGGCCAGGGGAGCAAACGGG
RNAcentral lists this ribosomal RNA (253 nucleotides) under uncultured bacterium. RNAcentral's name for it is "partial 16S ribosomal RNA". It matches the Rfam family "Bacterial small subunit ribosomal RNA", at positions 524 to 776 of the family's 1533-position model. The record is from RNAcentral.